Molecule: ribosomal RNA, 250 nt
Filed under: Campeiostachys nutans
Lineage: Eukaryota; Viridiplantae; Streptophyta; Magnoliopsida; Poales; Poaceae
Description: Elymus nutans partial small subunit ribosomal RNA
Rfam family: Eukaryotic small subunit ribosomal RNA (bases 40-250)
Source: RNAcentral
GGGUUAGUAGGUUGGUCAUGCCUCUGGUAUGCACUGGUCUCACUGAUUCCUCCUUCCUGAUGAGCCGUAAUGCCAUUAAUUUGGUGUUGCGGGGAAUUUGGACUGUUACUUUGAAAAAAUUAGAGUGUUUAAAGCAAGCUAACGCCCGAAUACAUUAGCAUGGAAUAAUAGAAUAGGACGUGCGGUUCUAUUUUGUUGGUUUCUAGGAUCGCCGUAAUGAUUAAUAGGGAUAGUUGGGCCAGUAUCGCGU